This 258-nucleotide long non-coding RNA is filed under the name Hordeum vulgare. RNAcentral's name for it is "long non-coding RNA (HVUL_LNC012020)". Lineage: Eukaryota; Viridiplantae; Streptophyta; Magnoliopsida; Poales; Poaceae. The record is from RNAcentral.
CAUUUGGCGGCUCAUGGGAGGCGCUGUCUUCACCAGGUCAACCGGGAUGGCAAGGCCGAAGGCCUAGUGUGCAAGCCGACCCAAGGAGGCUCAGAGAGAAGGCCCAAGAAUAGGAGGAAUGCCCUCCAAGAGAAGCAAGACAUGGAUUAGUAUUCCACAGAAGAUAGUCCUAUUCUUGUUAGGACUAUAUCUAAACCUACCCCUUCAACCUAUAUAAGAAGGGGCAGGGCACCCCAAGAGGGACAACUACAAUUAGGU